CAGCAGUCGCCGCGGUAAUACGUAGGGUGCAAGCGUUAAUCGGAAUUACUGGGCGUAAAGCGUGCGCAGGCGGUUAUAUAAGACAGAUGUGAAAUCCCCGGGCUCAACCUGGGAACUGCAUUUGUGACUGUAUAGCUAGAGUACGGCAGAGGGGGAUGGAAUUCCGCGUGUAGCAGUGAAAUGCGUAGAUAUGCGGAGGAACACCGAUGGCGAAGGCAAUCCCCUGGGCCUGUACUGACGCUCAUGCACGAAAGCGUGGGGAGCAAACAGGAUUAGAUACCCGCGUAGUCCCUGUCUCUUAUAC
This 304-nucleotide ribosomal RNA is filed under the name uncultured bacterium. Its description in RNAcentral is "partial 16S ribosomal RNA". It matches the Rfam family "Bacterial small subunit ribosomal RNA", at positions 509 to 807 of the family's 1533-position model. The record is from RNAcentral.